This 21-nucleotide microRNA is filed under the name Homo sapiens (human). Its description in RNAcentral is "hsa-miR-7114-5p". The record is from miRBase by way of RNAcentral. Lineage: Eukaryota; Metazoa; Chordata; Mammalia; Primates; Hominidae.
UCUGUGGAGUGGGGUGCCUGU